GACGAACGCUGGCGGCGUGCCUAAUACAUGCAAGUAGAACGCUGAAGGAGGAGCUUGCUUCUCCGGACGAGUUGCGAACGGGUGAGUAACGCGUAGGUAACCUGCCUGGUAGCGGGGGAUAACUAUUGGAAACGAUAGCUAAUACCGCAUAAGAGUAGAUGUUGCAUGACAUUUGCUUAAAAGGUGCAAUUGCAUCACUACCAGAUGGACCUGCGUUGUAUUAGCUAGUUGGUGGGGUAACGGCUCACCAAGGCGACGAUACAUAGCCGACCUGAGAGGGUGAUCGGCCACAUCUGGGACUGAGACACGGCCCAGACUCCUACGGGAGGCAGCAGUAGGGAAUCUUCGGCAAUGGACGGAAGUCUGACCGAUGCAACGCCGC
Molecule: ribosomal RNA, 382 nt
Filed under: Streptococcus mitis
Lineage: Bacteria; Bacillati; Bacillota; Bacilli; Lactobacillales; Streptococcaceae
Description: bacterial SSU rRNA
Rfam family: Bacterial small subunit ribosomal RNA
Source: RNAcentral